RNAcentral lists this ribosomal RNA (253 nucleotides) under uncultured bacterium. RNAcentral describes it as "partial 16S ribosomal RNA". It matches the Rfam family "Bacterial small subunit ribosomal RNA", at positions 524 to 776 of the family's 1533-position model. The record is from RNAcentral.
UACGGGGGGGGCAAGCGUUGUUCGGAAUUACUGGGCGUAAAGGGCUCGUAGGCGGCCAACUAAGUCAGACGUGAAAUCCCUCGGCUUAACUGGGGAACUGCGUCUGAUACUGGAUGGCUUGAGUUUGGGAGAGGGAUGCGGAAUUCCAGGUGUAGCGGUGAAAUGCGUAGAGAUGUGGAGGAACACCAGUGGCGAAGGCGGCUUUCUGGUCUGUAACUGACGCUGAGGCGCGAAAGCGUGGGGAGCAAACAGG